This 413-nucleotide ribosomal RNA is filed under the name Burkholderia cepacia. RNAcentral describes it as "partial 16S ribosomal RNA". The record is from RNAcentral. Lineage: Bacteria; Pseudomonadati; Pseudomonadota; Betaproteobacteria; Burkholderiales; Burkholderiaceae.
CCCGUCAAUUCAUUUGAGUUUUAAUCUUGCGACCGUACUCCCCAGGCGGUCAACUUCACGCGUUAGCUUCGUUACUAAGGAAAUGAAUCCCCAACAACUAGUUGACAUCGUUUAGGGCGUGGACUACCAGGGUAUCUAAUCCUGUUUGCUCCCCACGCUUUCGUGCAUGAGCGUCAGUAUUGGCCCAGGGGGCUGCCUUCGCCAUCGGUAUUCCUCCACGUCUCUACGCAUUUCACUGCUACACGUGGAAUUCUACCCCCCUCUGCCAUACUCUAGCUUGCCAGUCACGAAUGCAGUUCCCAGGUUGAGCCCGGGGAUUUCACAUCCGUCUUAACAAACCGCCUGCGCACGCUUUACGCCCAGUAAUUCCGAUUAACGCUUGCACCCUACGUAUUACCGCGGCUGCUGGCACA